This 274-nucleotide ribosomal RNA is filed under the name uncultured bacterium. RNAcentral's name for it is "partial 16S ribosomal RNA". It matches the Rfam family "Bacterial small subunit ribosomal RNA", at positions 523 to 796 of the family's 1533-position model. The record is from RNAcentral.
AUACGGAGGGUGCAAGCGUUAUUCGGAAUCACUGGGCGUAAAGGACGCGUAGGCGGGUUGGCAAGUCAGAUGUGAAAUCCUUCAGCUUAACUGUAGAACUGCAUUUGAAACUGCUAACCUAGAGGAUGGGAGGGGGAGAUGGAAUUAGUGGUGUAGGGGUAAAAUCCGUAGAUAUCACUAGGAAUACCGAAAGCGAAGGCGAUCUCCUGGAACAUAACUGACGCUAAGGCGUGAAAGCGUGGGGAGCAAACAGGAUUAGAAACCCUAGUAGUCC